RNAcentral lists this ribosomal RNA (497 nucleotides) under uncultured bacterium. RNAcentral describes it as "partial 16S ribosomal RNA". It matches the Rfam family "Bacterial small subunit ribosomal RNA", at positions 28 to 507 of the family's 1533-position model. The record is from RNAcentral.
GAUGAACGCUGGCGGCGUGCCUAAUACAUGCAAGUCGAGCGAACAGACGAGGAGCUUGCUCCUCUGACGUUAGCGGCGGACGGGUGAGUAACACGUGGAUAACCUACCUAUAAGACUGGGAUAACUUCGGGAAACCGGAGCUAAUACCGGAUAAUAUAUUGAACCGCAUGGUUCAAUAGUGAAAGACGGUUUUGCUGUCACUUAUAGAUGGAUCCGCGCCGCAUUAGCUAGUUGGUAAGGUAACGGCUUACCAAGGCAACGAUGCGUAGCCGACCUGAGAGGGUGAUCGGCCACGCUGGAACUGAGACACGGUCCAGACUCCUACGGGAGGCAGCAGUAGGGAAUCUUCCGCAAAGGGCGAAAGCCUGACGGAGCAACGCCGCGUGAGUGAUGAAGGUCUUCGGAUCGUAAAACUCUGUUAUUAGGGAAGAACAAAUGUGUAAGUAACUAUGCACGUCUUGACGGUACCUAAUCAGAAAGCCACGGCUAACUACGUG